Molecule: ribosomal RNA, 509 nt
Filed under: uncultured bacterium
Lineage: Bacteria
Description: partial 16S ribosomal RNA
Rfam family: Bacterial small subunit ribosomal RNA
Source: RNAcentral
GACGAACGCUGGCGGCGUGCUUAACACAUGCAAGUGGUGCGACGAACCAGGCUUUGGCCUGGGGCAGAGCCGCGAACGGGUGAGUAACACGUGGGCAACCUGCCCUGUUGAUCGGGACAACCCGGGGAAACCCGGGCUAAUACCGAAUGUGGUGCCGGCUCAUGAGAGCCGUCACGAAAGGAAGCUUCGGCCUCCGCGACAGGAUGGGCCCGCGGCCCAUUAGCUUGUUGGUGGGGUAAUGGCCUACCAAGGCGACGAUGGGUAGCUGGUCUGAGAGGACGAUCAGCCACACUGGGACUGAGACACGGCCCAGACUCCUACGGGAGGCUGCAGUGGGGAAUCUUGCGCAAUGAGCGACAGCUUGACGCAGCAACGCCGCGUGUGUGAAGAAGGCCUUCGGGUUGUAAAGCACUUUAAGCGGGGAGGAAGGCCUGAUGGCUAAUAUCCAUCAGGAUUGACGUUACCCGCAGAAUAAGCACCGGCAAACUUCGUGCCAGCCGCCGCGGUAA